GGCCUUGCAUGGCGAUGCCACCGCCCCUAUAUCAGAGUCGCCGUCGUGCUCACGCACUUGGCUAUGGCGAUAAACGGCUCGUGGAAUAAUCGUUGUGGACCCGGGGGCAGUGCCCGGCGUCUCCACCAUAAUACUCUCCUACCCGGCAACGGCGGAGACGAUGGGGACGAAACAGGAUCGACACGCGUGGUAAAGACCAGUCUUUUGCCCGGCAUUGUACCGCCGUCAUCGGGCUAAACUCAGAAGUGCCAACGAUAACACGAAGGUGCUCGCUGUCGCUGCAUAAGCGAUAAGCGCGGUUCGGGAGGGCACCGGGCAACAGAAGCCCUCCCACU
RNAcentral lists this transfer-messenger RNA (335 nucleotides) under Brytella acorum. Its description in RNAcentral is "Alphaproteobacteria transfer-messenger RNA". It matches the Rfam family "Alphaproteobacteria transfer-messenger RNA". From Rfam's summary of the family: Bacterial tmRNA, also known as 10Sa RNA or SsrA, is named for its dual tRNA and mRNA-like properties. Its role is to liberate the mRNA from a stalled ribosome. Lineage: Bacteria; Pseudomonadati; Pseudomonadota; Alphaproteobacteria; Acetobacterales; Acetobacteraceae. The record is from Rfam by way of RNAcentral.